Molecule: long non-coding RNA, 2459 nt
Organism: Papaver somniferum (opium poppy)
Lineage: Eukaryota; Viridiplantae; Streptophyta; Magnoliopsida; Ranunculales; Papaveraceae
Exons: 6
Source: RefSeq, a predicted model, not a curated record
GCCUUCUUGUUAGGAAAUUCUUUUUCCACAGUGAUCCAAUUUUGUUUUACAGAUUCGGGAAGAGGUGUCCUUGGAUGCGGGGGAUUGCAUUUCAGUUUCAGAGCUACACAAGGUGGGCUGAACAUUGAUGUGGUAGGAUAUUUCUGAAACAUCAUGAUGUUCUAGAAUUGUAGAUAGGAAAAGACAAGAAGCGGUUUUGUGGAGUAUUCAGGACCAUAUAUCUACUGCAGCAGUAGACCAAGGAUCCGCAAAUUCAGGGUCUAAAACGCCCUCUAAAGUACCGGUGAAAAAGCUUCUGAGAGCCCUUGGGUUGGACCAUGUGGUAUAUACCAAGGGCAUGACGACACUGUUGAAGAUGUGCAGUUUUGUACUUCAAGGUUAUUGACAGUUAUACUUGGAUAUGUUUUUUGAUGGUUUAUACGGUUAUAAAUUCUCCAUACAGUUUUGCGGAUGUCAUUUUCUUGUCUCAUUCUUUGCGAUGCUCGUACUGGAAGAGAUCUUUCAUGAUUAAUCCAGAGUUAAUUGUUGGCAUGCUUUUCUUGCUUUGUAUGGAUGACAAUGAGGCUAUUGAAAUUGUUGGCGUGGAAAGGUUUUCAAUUUAUACUGGGUUUUGACAUAUGGCCUAAUAGGGGAGCAGAACCGUGAAUCUCUUGAAGUGGACUUUUCCAACAAAUAUAUAGGUGGUGGUGCUAUUGGUAGAAGCUGCGUACAGGUUUGUUGAAUUUUUUCUUUAUGCUUAGUGGAUGUCAUUCGUGAAUAAGCCAAGCCAAGGAAAACAUCACUGAACUCAACUUUGGCAUUUGUUAGAUCAACCAUGAUAAGUGGAAUGUUAUUUAAGCUUAAGCUUGGGGUAUCUUUUGUUGUGUUAGUGCAACGAGCAGUUUACAAGCCAGGACCUCAAUUGAGCUCAAGCUUGGGUUUACCUUGUUCAUACUUAAGGGAAGAAGCAUUGUAAGAACUUCUGAAUAAUAUGCUUUUAUGAAAUGAACAUGGUCAACUUCGCAAAGUAACCCCACUUUCUCCUGUUGCGAGUUGGUAAAAAGAAAGAACGUGUUGGAAAUAGAAUGCCUGAUUCUCCUCCAAGAUUAUUCUUCUAGCAAGCUGAUCACGAGUAUAUGAAGACAUAAUUUUUAUGAAAAUUUUUCUUUCCAGUGGAAUACAUCUGACCCAUGGACAAUUGUUAGCAUUUCUGAUGAUUGCGAAAGCAACUGUGGUGGUGGGACAUUGCAGGCUAGAGGAGGAGGUUCUGGAAGAACUUGAAACUAGGUACAAGUUGAGAUCGGCUGGGAUGCAACUGAUUCUUGCUGGAGUUGGAGGAGUUGAUACUGGCUGGGAUGCAACGGAAACGAACCCGUUGCGAAGAACUGCAACAUCGACUUUUGUAACAAAGAGAAACUGUUGCGACCCCACUUUGCAACUGCCACCUGCUAAUCACUAAAUUUGGUGUAGUGCUUGGCAGUGACAAGUGGUGGUUACGGCCAUGGAUCUUGAGAGGAAGGAACGACAGCUACGAGCAUGGACCUUGGUCGGUCACGAACAUGAAUAUUGACGCGCUUUAAUAAAUCACGCACGCGAGUUUAUUCUCCUUUCUUUAUUUUUUUGGUGAAGUAGCUCUUCCCUGAUUCCCUGUGUGUGGAAAAUCGCCUAUUGUUGUUUGCAUAAAUACUCCAUCGUAAUCUGUACGGUUUCGUGGACGGAGUCCCCAGGAACUAUACAACCCCUGAUGGGAAGAGGGUCUCUGCGAACUCCUUCAGUAUCUAAUUAAAGUUCUCCUGCAUCUGUGGUAACGACAAUAUUUGGGAUUUUCCAUUUGUUCCUGAGUUGGUGGGCGCCUGAUAGGAGGUAGUUUGAUGGCAUCAUCUUGAAUCCAUACUUCCAGGAGUUCAAUCACUUCAUCGAUCGGUAACGGGAAGUUUGGAGCAGCAUCUCCAGUUUCUUGUUGUUGUGCGGGAGUCUUUAGCUGCGGCCUUACGGGAUGGGGCCGUCUGAUGCGUUGGUGCUGCACGUUUGAGUUAUUGUUCUGCAACUGGAGCUUCUCCCCUUCCUCCUACACUCACAACGCUUACAGAGGGUUGAGUGUUGUAUUAUUUUUUGAUGAGACGUCUGUUUCCUCGAAUCUCACAUGUAUCUUCAUUCUUGGCGGGCCUGAUUCCUUCCAGCAAAGCUGGUGCUGUUAUAGCCAACCGCUUAGCAGCUUCAUGAAGUUCGAAGAACGUAUGGAAGCGUGGGUUCUCCAGUAAAGCGCGAUAGACAGGUGCCAUGCCAUUAAUGCACAACUCUAAUAAUUGAUGUUCAGUCACAUUUGGAUCAUAGUGCUUGAAUCCAAUUGGCUAUACGGUUUGGUGUAAUGUUGUUGUACCAGGUGUACGCUCUCCCCGUAAGUAACUUUGAGAACUCUUUCAGGCGGAGGACAUGAUUGUAUUCGUGCUCUUCUAAUGACUCCAGAAAACGAGAGAUGU